GAUGAACGCUGGCGGCGUGCCUAAUACAUGCCAGUCGAGCGAACGGACGAGAAGCUUGCUUCUCUGAUGUUAGCGGCGGACGGGUGAGUAACACGUGGAUAACCUACCUAUAAGACUGGGAUAACUUCGGGAAACCGGAGCUAAUACCGGAUAAUAUUUUGAACCGCAUGGUUCAAAAGUGGAAGACGGUCUUGCUGUCACUUAUAGAUGGAUCCGCGCUGCAUUAGCUAGUUGGUAAGGUAACGGCUUACCAAGGCAACGAUGCAUAGCCGACCUGAGAGGGUGAUCGGCCACACUGGAACUGAGACACGGUCCAGACUCCUACGGGAGGCAGCAGUAGGGAAUCUUCCGCAAUGGGCGAAAGCCUGACGGAGCAACGCCGCGUGAGUGAUGAAGGUCUUCGGAUCGUAAAACUCUGUUAUUAGGGAAGAACAUAUGUGUAAGUAACUGUGCACAUCUUGACGGUACCUAAUCAGAAAGCCACGGCUAACUACGUG
This 497-nucleotide ribosomal RNA is filed under the name uncultured bacterium. RNAcentral's name for it is "partial 16S ribosomal RNA". It matches the Rfam family "Bacterial small subunit ribosomal RNA", at positions 28 to 507 of the family's 1533-position model. The record is from RNAcentral.